This 175-nucleotide ribosomal RNA is filed under the name Clostridioides difficile. RNAcentral describes it as "partial 16S ribosomal RNA". It matches the Rfam family "Bacterial small subunit ribosomal RNA", at positions 1 to 182 of the family's 1533-position model. The record is from RNAcentral. Lineage: Bacteria; Bacillati; Bacillota; Clostridia; Peptostreptococcales; Peptostreptococcaceae.
UUUUAUUUGAGAGUUUGAUCCUGGCUCAGGAUGAACGCUGGCGGCGUGCCUAACACAUGCAAGUUGAGCGAUUUACUUCGGUAAAGAGCGGCGGACGGGUGAGUAACGCGUGGGUAACCUGCCCUGUACACACGGAUAACAUACCGAAAGGUAUGCUAAUACGGGAUAAUAUAUU